This 1450-nucleotide ribosomal RNA is filed under the name Salmonella enterica subsp. enterica serovar Kottbus. RNAcentral describes it as "partial 23S ribosomal RNA". It matches the Rfam family "Bacterial large subunit ribosomal RNA", at positions 711 to 2141 of the family's 2925-position model. Lineage: Bacteria; Pseudomonadati; Pseudomonadota; Gammaproteobacteria; Enterobacterales; Enterobacteriaceae. The record is from RNAcentral.
AGACCCGAAACCCGGUGAUCUAGCCAUGGGCAGGUUGAAGGUUGGGUAACACUAACUGGAGGACCGAACCGACUAAUGUUGAAAAAUUAGCGGAUGACCUGUGGCUGGGGGUGAAAGGCCAAUCAAACCGGGAGAUAGCUGGUUCUCCCCGAAAGCUAUUUAGGUAGCGCCUCGUGAAUUCAUCUCCGGGGGUAGAGCACUGUUUCGGCUAGGGGGCCAUCCCGGCUUACCAACCCGAUGCAAACUGCGAAUACCGGAGAAUGUUAUCACGGGAGACACACGGCGGGUGCUAACGUCCGUCGUGAAGAGGGAAACAACCCAGACCGCCAGCUAAGGUCCCAAAGUCAUGGUUAAGUGGGAAACGAUGUGGGAAGGCCCAGACAGCCAGGAUGUUGGCUUAGAAGCAGCCAUCAUUUAAAGAAAGCGUAAUAGCUCACUGGUCGAGUCGGCCUGCGCGGAAGAUGUAACGGGGCUAAACCAUGCACCGAAGCUGCGGCAGCGACGCUUAUGCGUUGUUGGGUAGGGGAGCGUUCUGUAAGCCUGUGAAGGUGGCCUGUGAGGGUUGCUGGAGGUAUCAGAAGUGCGAAUGCUGACAUAAGUAACGAUAAAGCGGGUGAAAAGCCCGCUCGCCGGAAGACCAAGGGUUCCUGUCCAACGUUAAUCGGGGCAGGGUGAGUCGACCCCUAAGGCGAGGCCGAAAGGCGUAGUCGAUGGGAAACGGGUUAAUAUUCCCGUACUUGGUGUUACUGCGAAGGGGGGACGGAGAAGGCUAUGUUGGCCGGGCGACGGUUGUCCCGGUUUAAGCGUGUAGGUGUGUGUUCCAGGUAAAUCCGGUUCACUUUAACACUGAGGCGUGACGACGAGGCACUACGGUGCUGAAGCAACAAAUGCCCUGCUUCCAGGAAAAGCCUCUAAGCAUCAGGUAACAUCAAAUCGUACCCCAAACCGACACAGGUGGUCAGGUAGAGAAUACCAAGGCGCUUGAGAGAACUCGGGUGAAGGAACUAGGCAAAAUGGUGCCGUAACUUCGGGAGAAGGCACGCUGACACGUAGGUGAAGUGAUUUACUCACGGAGCUGAAGUCAGUCGAAGAUACCAGCUGGCUGCAACUGUUUAUUAAAAACACAGCACUGUGCAAACACGAAAGUGGACGUAUACGGUGUGACGCCUGCCCGGUGCCGGAAGGUUAAUUGAUGGGGUCAGCGCAAGCGAAGCUCCUGAUCGAAGCCCCGGUAAACGGCGGCCGUAACUAUAACGGUCCUAAGGUAGCGAAAUUCCUUGUCGGGUAAGUUCCGACCUGCACGAAUGGCGUAAUGAUGGCCAGGCUGUCUCCACCCGAGACUCAGUGAAAUUGAACUCGCUGUGAAGAUGCAGUGUACCCGCGGCAAGACGGAAAGACCCCGUGAACCUUUACUAUAGCUUGACACUGAACAUUGAGCCUUGAUGUGUAG